AACGAACGCUGGCGGCAUGCCUAACACAUGCAAGUCGAACGAGACCUUCGGGUCUAGUGGCGCACGGGUGCGUAACGCGUGGGAAUCUGCCCCUCGGUUCGGAAUAACACAGAGAAAUUUGUGCUAAUACCGGAUAAUGACGAAAGUCCAAAGAUUUAUCGCCGAGGGAUGAGCCCGCGUAAGAUUAGCUAGUUGGUGGGGUAAUGGCCUACCAAGGCGACGAUCUUUAGCUGGUCUGAGAGGAUGAUCAGCCACACUGGGACUGAGACACGGCCCAGACUCCUACGGGAGGCAGCAGUGGGGAAUAUUGGACAAUGGGCGAAAGCCUGAUCCAGCAAUGCCGCGUGAGUGAUGAAGGCCUUAGGGUUGUAAAGCUCUUUUACCAGGGAUGAUAAUGACAGUACCUGGAGAAUAAGCUCCGGCUAACUCCGUG
RNAcentral lists this ribosomal RNA (433 nucleotides) under uncultured bacterium. RNAcentral describes it as "bacterial SSU rRNA". It matches the Rfam family "Bacterial small subunit ribosomal RNA", at positions 29 to 507 of the family's 1533-position model. The record is from RNAcentral.